This 1109-nucleotide long non-coding RNA is filed under the name Homo sapiens (human). Its description in RNAcentral is "HSALNT0141583". Lineage: Eukaryota; Metazoa; Chordata; Mammalia; Primates; Hominidae. The record is from RNAcentral.
GAGGCAGUAAUAAUUGAGAUGUAAAUGGGCUUUAUGUUGUACCAAGUGGUAUAGGAUGAAGGUUCUGAAAAUACUGACAGGAGAAGACUAGAGAUAUAAGUAUGAGAGAAAAGGAUGGAUAGAAUUAAAUCUGGAUGUUACUUAGAGAAACACUUGGGAAAAGCUCAGGAAGCAUGGGAAACUGGAGCAGAGACAGGAGGUUGUAAGGAUGCUUGGAGAGUCCAAUGAGAGAAGGGCAUAAGCUUUAUAUAGAUCAGUUAUCUAGAAAAGCCUUGAAAAGAAGCAGCAGCUUCAAUCACUUCAUCUAAGCAGACUGAAGGAACCUUGAGAUGAGAAAUUUGAUAAAGAGCUUUAGGAUGGAAUCCAAAUAUUAAAUACAACUGCCCAAGCAGUAUCCGAAGGUUGCGGGGAACAUUAUAUCUUCAGUUGGGAGUGAAAGCAGUAACUGGUGGCCAGGACAAAGCUGAAUUACCAGCUGACCUGGCAAUGAAUUUUGAGGAACAAUCUAUUAAAAUUGGGUUUAGUGAGUUAAGAAGCAUCAAAGCUGGUUUAAGUAGCCAGACUGUAUUCCUGUGACUCUGAAUAUUCUGAAAUUUCCUCACUGUAGAACAAUGUCAUAUUAAAACCCAAGUGACUGACUGGGCUGAAAUAACAGGAGCCAGAAAGCAGAGAAAGCAAGAGACAUACAAGGAUAAUAAAAAGAAAAACCCUUGGCCCAUAAGGUGGUGACAGGGAAAUUUACCAGUCAUGGAAUUCUAGGAAGAUUCUCUCUAGUGGUUGCUCUGAUAUGUUUUUGUACCAAAGUAUAAAGAUAAUUAUUUUGGGUUGUAGGAUAUUUCUAGUACCCUUCAAAUCAUGCCCAUGUCUAGUACUGAGGAGGAACUGAGGUAGGUCAAGGUGCACUUAAAAAAAUGCACAUAGCAAUCCCAUGUGUAACUGAAGUCUAAAUGAAAUACUUUUAUAUGUGUUUUCUUUCAAAUCAAAUUUACCCCAUAUUAAAAGUUAAAUUAAAAAACCACACGACUAAAUUCUCUAGUCUUCAUUUUUCUGCCACAAUUCCUCUAUUCUUCCCUGCAGUCAAAGGUUCGUGUUAUCAUUUGGAUUUAAGG